CUUAGCUCAGCUGGAUAGAGCAACAGCCUUCUAAGCUGUGGGUCGAGGGUUCGAAUCCUUCAGG
RNAcentral lists this transfer RNA (64 nucleotides) under bovine gut metagenome. It matches the Rfam family "tRNA", at positions 6 to 65 of the family's 71-position model. Rfam says of the family: Transfer RNA (tRNA) molecules are approximately 80 nucleotides in length. Their secondary structure includes four short double-helical elements and three loops (D, anti-codon, and T loops). The record is from RNAcentral.